RNAcentral lists this ribosomal RNA (374 nucleotides) under uncultured Prevotella sp. RNAcentral describes it as "bacterial SSU rRNA". It matches the Rfam family "Bacterial small subunit ribosomal RNA", at positions 355 to 725 of the family's 1533-position model. The record is from RNAcentral. Lineage: Bacteria; Pseudomonadati; Bacteroidota; Bacteroidia; Bacteroidales; Prevotellaceae.
UGAGGAAUAUUGGUCAAUGGGCGGAAGCCUGAACCAGCCAAGUAGCGUGAGGGAUGACUGCCCUAUGGGUUGUAGACCUCUUUUAUAAGGGAAUAAAAUACGGGACGUGUCCUGUUUUGCAUGUACCUUAUGAAUAAGGACCGGCUAAUUCCGUGCCAGCAGCCGCGGUAAUACGGAAGGUCCGGGCGUUAUCCGGAUUUAUUGGGUUUAAAGGGAGCGCAGGCGGUCUUAUAAGCGUGACGUGAAAUGCAGCGGCUCAACCGUAUGAUGUGCGUCGCGAACUGUGAGACUUGAGUGUAUUCGAUGUCAGCGGAAUUUGUGGUGUAGCGGUGAAAUGCGUAGAUAUAUGGAAGAACACCAGUGGCGAAGGCGGC